Molecule: ribosomal RNA, 251 nt
Filed under: uncultured prokaryote
Description: partial 16S rRNA
Rfam family: Bacterial small subunit ribosomal RNA
Source: RNAcentral
ACGUAGGUGGCGAGCGUUGUCCGGAAUUACUGGGCGUAAAGGGUGAGUAGGCGGGAAGCCAAGUCAGAUGUGAAAUAUCCAGGCUCAACCUGGGGGCUGCAUUUGAAACUGGUUUUCUUGAGUGAUGGAGGGGCAGGCGGAAUUCCCGAUGUAGCGGUGAAAUGCGUAGAUAUCGGGAGGAACACCAGUGGCGAAGGCGGCUUGCUGGACAUUAACUGACGCUGAGGCGCGAAAGCGAGGGGAGCAAACAG